AAUCUUAGGCAUACCUAGUACGGCGAGUGAGCGGGAAGAGCUCAAAUUUGAAAUCUGGCAGUCUUCGAUUGUCCGAGUUGUAAUCUAUAGAGGCGUUUUCCGUGCCGGACCGUGUCCAAGUCUCCUGGAAAGGAGUAUCAAAGAGGGUGAUAAUCCCGUACUUAACACGACCACCGGUGCUCUGUGAUACGUCUUCUACGAGUCGAGUUGUUUGGGAAUGCAGCUCAAAAUGGGUGGUGAAUUCCAUCUAAAGCUAAAUAUUGGCGAGAGACCGAUAGCGAACAAGUACCGUGAGGGAAAGAUGAAAAGCACUUUGGAAAGAGAGUUAAACAGUACGUGAAAUUGUUGAAAGGGAAACGAUUGAAGUCAGUCGUGUUCUUUGGAUUCAGCCAGUUCUGCUGGUCUACUUCCUUGGAACGGGUCAACAUCAGUUUUGUCCGGUGGAUAAAGGUAGUAGGAAUGUGACUUCUCCGGAAGUGUUAUAGCCUAUUAUCACAUACACUGGGUGAGACUGAGGACUGCAGCUCGCCUUUAUGGCCGGCCUUCGGGCACGUUCGAGCUUAGGAUGUUGACAUAAUGGCUUUAAACGACCCGUCUUAA
RNAcentral lists this ribosomal RNA (600 nucleotides) under Trichosporon asahii. RNAcentral's name for it is "partial large subunit ribosomal RNA". It matches the Rfam family "Eukaryotic large subunit ribosomal RNA", at positions 62 to 657 of the family's 3401-position model. Lineage: Eukaryota; Fungi; Basidiomycota; Tremellomycetes; Trichosporonales; Trichosporonaceae. The record is from RNAcentral.